Molecule: long non-coding RNA, 2934 nt
Filed under: Homo sapiens (human)
Lineage: Eukaryota; Metazoa; Chordata; Mammalia; Primates; Hominidae
Description: non-protein coding lnc-PABPC4L-5:9
Source: RNAcentral
GAGUGUGAGAGCGAGAACAGCCCCGCAGGUCCCGAGGCGCUGGCUGGGGACAAUGCCGCGGAAAGUUCCCAGUCCCCAGCCGCAGAUCUGCAGAAUUGAAAUGAAAUGUUUUGAGCUCUUCAAGCUGACUCGUCAGAAUCCUGGAGCCUUUUAAAAAAUGACGAAUUGGAAGGAAAAAUUACUUUAUCAAUAACCAGGCUCCACCAGGAUUGACCUAGAUGGUUGUUCCUGGCACUUGUCAUUCUCAGCAAGCACAGCUCAGAGAACAAAUACAAAAGACCCAAAGUGCAUUGCAUCUUUUAUGGAAGUGCCCAAUGUGGAAAUCAUAGAUUUCAAGGAAGGAACAAGAAAAUUGAUGAAACAAGUUCAAAAGAAAGCUUGGCCAAUUUGAUGUCAAUGGAAAUGCGUGAGAUUUUUAUUCAGCAUUCACACCUGAGCAAUGCUUUUGGUCAUGAUGUCAUACUAAGAAGAAACCACCUGAGAUGAGACUGUUAGAUGUUCAGAGCAAACAAAAACAAAAACAGACCAACAAAAAAAACCCAAAACAAAACAGAAGUUUCUGAAGGACAGCAGAAAUGAGAAGGGGUUUCACCGUGUUAGCCAGGAUGGUCUUGAUCUCCUGACCUUGUGAUCCGCCCGCCUCGGCCUCCCAAAGUGCUGGGAUUACAGGCAUGAGCCACGGCGCCCGGCCCUUAAGAAGUCUUAAAGUCAUCUAUGAUGGGCUAAUGGCACUCUUCACGACAAGCCUGAUUGCACUGUUAAGCUCCAGAGGAAAAAAUGUGGCUAUAGAGUAUAUUAAAAUACAUACAAUUGAAAAGGAAGAUGUUCAUUUUUGCAAGCAGAAGAUUACCAACAGAAUGCUAAAAUUAAAGGCUUUGCAGGACCACAACAACCACUCCCAGUCAUGAUGGAGAGAAGUGUUCAAUACCCACAGAUCCUGAACGUUGAGCUGAUUAUACUAACUAGAUGGGACUUAGUUUUGUCUACCGUGGGGUGAGCGUAUACUACCUGAGGGAACAGGUUCUCUAUGGUGAAGAUGGCAACUUGCUGACUCAGUCUCAGAAUGCGUUAAAUCCACAUAUUCUGGCAAGUGGAGUUCUGCUUCUCCAAUAUCUCUUCCAGACUAAGUCUCGAAAGGACAGUAAUUGAUCCACCCUGAGUCAUAUGCCCAUGUCCAAAGCAAUGAGUUUGGGAAAUUUCAUGACACACUCCUAAUUUUGUGGUAGGAGACACAUCAGAACCACACAAUGAGUCAGUCCUAUUUAUGAAAUAGAGGUUCAUCUAUCAGAUGAAAGGGAAAAAAGUUGUAAAAACAAAACAGAUGUUCACUAAUGGGGAUCUAUCUGAAUUUCACCUGUAACUACAAAUGCUCACAAGUAGAUUUACAGUUUUCCUAGAGUGUCAUGAAUUUAAAAACAUAUGCAUGGAAUCAUAAAGUAAUAUCCUAAUCACCUCUCACAACCUUUCUCUCCUUAACAUAAAAUGAGAAUAUUUUAGCAGCAGGAGAAGGAUUUUCAUUUAUAGACCUUUAUCAGACACUAAUGUAGGAUUGAGUUUGACCUGAUACAGUGUUCUAUCUCUGAGUGUUGUCACUCAGUUUUAUCAUAAAUAAAAUUUAUUUUAUAUGAUAUCAUAUAGAGAACAAAUUUACUUAUUUUUCUCAUGUAAUCAUGUAAUCAAUUGUUCCAACAUAAUCCAUUGAAUAGAUAUUGUGGCAUUUCCCUAAUUAUUUAUAAAGGCACUGUUACUAGAUAUGAAUAUUUAUAUAUGAGGAUAUGAAUCGUGGCUCUCUGAUUUGUUCAUUAUUUGCUUGUCUAUUCCUGUGCCAGUAUCAUACAAUUGGUACUAAUAUAGUGUUCUGAUAUUGACAGGAUGAAGUGCUCCUUCUAAUGAUGUAGCUUUAAAUUUGUCUUGGUUGUGCAUUUCUUUUUAUUCUUCCAUAGAGAUUUGUGGUUCAGUUGUCAGCUUUGAAAAUCACUUUUGGGAUUUGAAUUUGAAUUGCAUGAAAUUUGUAGACUAACUUGUAGAAAAUAGACAUUUUUAUGAUAUGAAUUUACACAUCCUUGUAACCAUGGGUGUGUUAUUUAUUUUCACUUUUGAAUAUUAUUGUGGGUAUUUAGUAAUAAAAAUAACAAUCGACGAGUUACAUGGUGGUUACUAUGUGACAGAUGUUGUCAAAGUUCCAUCCAUAUAUCAACUUAUUAUAUAUUCUUAUGGGAAGAGACCGUUAUUAUCUCCAUUACACAAGUAAGAAAAUCGAGGUACAAAGAGCUUAAGUAACAUGUGCUAAGUCAUAUAAGAGUAAAGCUUUAUUUGAAUCCAUGCAGUUUGUCUCCAGAGCUUGAAAUCCAUUUUAUUUUAUUUUAUUUUUGCUUUUUAAAAAAAAUUUUUUUGAGACGGAAUCUCGCUUUGUUGCCCAGGCUGGAGUGCAGUGGCACAAUCGCGGCUCAUUGCAACCUCCACCUCCUGGGUUCAAGCAAUUCUCCUGCCUCAGCCUCCCGAGUAGCUGGGACUACAGGUGGGCACCACCACGCCCAGCUAAUUUUUUGUAUUUUUAGUAGAGAAUGGGGUUUCACCAUGUUAGCCAGGAUGGUCUCGAUCUCAUGACCUCAUGUUCCACCUGCCUCGGUCUCCCAAAGUGCUGGGAUUACAGGCGUGAGCCACUGCAUCCAGCCUGAAAUAUUUACCAGUAUCUGAUAUUGCCUCACUAAGAACUUUGCCCAACUCCUUAGUGAUUCUACCAUUGGCUUAGUAUUUUGGAUUUUCUAGUAGACAAUAAUAUCGUGUGCAUAAAGCAAAUACAAUUAUUAUUACAAUAAAAUUUUUAAACUACUCAUUUGUACUUGCUUUCAUAAAGCCUUAGCUAAUUCCAACAAAAUAUUGAUUACUGUGGGAGAGAGUGGUAAAUCUUAUUUUGUACCUAAUAUUAAAUAA